This 440-nucleotide ribosomal RNA is filed under the name uncultured bacterium. Its description in RNAcentral is "partial 16S ribosomal RNA". It matches the Rfam family "Bacterial small subunit ribosomal RNA", at positions 339 to 795 of the family's 1533-position model. The record is from RNAcentral.
CUACGGGGGGCAGCAGUCGAGAAUCUUCCGCAAUGGGCGAAAGCCUGACGGAGCAAUGCCGCGUGUAGGAUGAAGGCCUUUGGGUUGUAAACUACUGUCACCGGGGAUGAAUAUUGACAGUACCCGGAGAGGAAGCCACGGCUAACUACGUGCCAGUAGCCGCGGUAAUACGUAGGUGGCGAGCGUUGUUCGGAUUUAUUGGGCGUAAAGGGUUCGUAGGGGGUUAUUUAAGUCUGAUGUGAAAUCCCGCGGCUUAACCGCGGAACUGCAUUGGAAACUGAGUAACUAGAGGAUCAGAGAGGAGAGUGGAAUUCCGGGAGUAGCGGUGGAAUGCGUAGAUAUCCGGAAGAACACCGACAGCGAAGGCAGCUCUCUGGACGAUUCCUGACCCUGAGGGACGAAAGCGUGGGUAGCAAACAGGAUUAGAUACCCUCGUAGUC